RNAcentral lists this ribosomal RNA (492 nucleotides) under uncultured bacterium. Its description in RNAcentral is "bacterial SSU rRNA". It matches the Rfam family "Bacterial small subunit ribosomal RNA", at positions 28 to 507 of the family's 1533-position model. The record is from RNAcentral.
GAUGAACGCUAGCUACAGGCUUAACACAUGCAAGUCGAGGGGAAACGACAUCGAAAGCUUGCUUUUGAUGGGCGUCGACCGGCGCACGGGUGAGUAACGCGUAUCCAACCUGCCCGUCACUUGGGGAUAACCUUGCGAAAGUAAGACUAAUACCCGAUGAUAUCCCUAGAAGACAUCUGAAAGGGAUUAAAGAUUUAUCGGUGAUGGAUGGGGAUGCGUCUGAUUAGCUUGUUGGCGGGGUAACGGCCCACCAAGGCAACGAUCAGUAGGGGUUCUGAGAGGAAGGUCCCCCACAUUGGAACUGAGACACGGUCCAAACUCCUACGGGAGGCAGCAGUGAGGAAUAUUGGUCAAUGGGCGAGAGCCUGAACCAGCCAAGUAGCGUGCAGGAUGACGGCCCUAUGGGUUGUAAACUGCUUUUAUAAGGGAAUAAAGUGAGCCUCGUGAGGCUUUUUGCAUGUACCUUAUGAAUAAGGACCGGCUAAUUCCGUG